RNAcentral lists this ribosomal RNA (253 nucleotides) under uncultured bacterium. Its description in RNAcentral is "partial 16S ribosomal RNA". It matches the Rfam family "Bacterial small subunit ribosomal RNA", at positions 524 to 776 of the family's 1533-position model. The record is from RNAcentral.
UGCGUAGGGUGCAAGCGUUGUCCGGAAUUAUUGGGCGUAAAGAGCGCGUAGGCGGUCCGAUAAGUCGGCUGUGAAAGUCAGGGGCUCAACCCUUGAAAGCCGGCCGAUACUGUCGGACUAGAGUCCGGAAGAGGCGAGUGGAAUUCCUGGUGUAGCGGUGAAAUGCGCAGAUAUCAGGAGGAACACCAAUUGCGAAGGCAGCUCGCUGGGACGUAACUGACGCUGAGACGCGAAAGCGUGGGGAGCAAACAGG